This 87-nucleotide microRNA precursor is filed under the name Nicotiana sylvestris (wood tobacco). RNAcentral's name for it is "MIR6152 microRNA precursor family". It matches the Rfam family "MIR6152 microRNA precursor family". Lineage: Eukaryota; Viridiplantae; Streptophyta; Magnoliopsida; Solanales; Solanaceae. The record is from Rfam by way of RNAcentral. RNAcentral also lists the same sequence under 1 other name.
UAGACAGAUUAUUGUAUUCACGACGUGAAAUAGGGGAUUACAUUGUUUUUAAAACGGAAAGUGAAUCAAUUAACAUAAUAGACUCCU